UGAGGAUACGGUUAACGGAGCGAAAGCGACGUUCAACCGCAAAACAAGCAGAGGGGGCUUAGUGGUGGGGUGACUGCGUACCUUUUGUAUAAUGGGUCAGCGACUUAUAUUCUGUAGCAAGGUUAACCGAAUAGGGGAGCCGGAGGGAAACCGAGUCUUAAUUGGGCGUUAAGUUGCAGGGUAUAGACCCGAAACCCGGUGAUCUAGCCAUGGGCAGGUUGAAGGUUGGGUAACACUAACUGGAGGACCGAACCGACUAAUGUUGAAAAAUUAGCGGAUGACCUGUGGCUGGGGGUGAAAGGCCAAUCAAACCGGGAGAUAGCUGGUUCUCCCCGAAAGCUAUUUAGGUAGCGCCUCGUGAAUUCAUCUCCGGGGGUAGAGCACUGUUUCGGCUAGGGGGCCAUCCCGGCUUACCAACCCGAUGCAAACUGCGAAUACCGGAGAAUGUUAUCACGGGAGACACACGGCGGGUGCUAACGUCCGUCGUGAAGAGGGAAACAACCCAGACCGCCAGCUAAGGUCCCAAAGUCAUGGUUAAGUGGGAAACGAUGUGGGAAGGCCCAGACAGCCAGGAUGUUGGCUUAGAAGCAGCCAUCAUUUAAAGAAAGCGUAAUAGCUCACUGGUCGAGUCGGCCUGCGCGGAAGAUGUAACGGGGCUAAACCAUGCACCGAAGCUGCGGCAGCGAACGUAUCACCCAAGACAACUUUACGGAGUUGACGAUUGACGGAGCGAAGCGACGUCAAAGCGUUCAUUAAAGUCGAGUUGGCUUAGGGAUACGUUCGUUGGGUAGGGGAGCGUUCUGUAAGCCUGUGAAGGUGUGUCGUGAGGCAUGCUGGAGGUAUCAGAAGUGCGAAUGCUGACAUAAGUAACGAUAAAGCGGGUGAAAAGCCCGCUCGCCGGAAGACCAAGGGUUCCUGUCCAACGUUAAUCGGGGCAGGGUGAGUCGACCCCUAAGGCGAGGCCGAAAGGCGUAGUCGAUGGGAAACGGGUUAAUAUUCCCGUACUUGGUGUUACUGCGAAGGGGGGACGGAGAAGGCUAUGUUGGCCGGGCGACGGUUGUCCCGGUUUAAGCGUGUAGGUGUGUGUUCCAGGUAAAUCCGGUUCACUUUAACACUGAGGCGUGACGACGAGGCACUACGGUGCUGAAGCAACAAAUGCCCUGCUUCCAGGAAAAGCCUCUAAGCAUCAGGUAACAUCAAAUCGUACCCCAAACCGACACAGGUGGUCAGGUAGAGAAUACCAAGGCGCUUGAGAGAACUCGGGUGAAGGAACUAGGCAAAAUGGUGCCGUAACUUCGGGAGAAGGCACGCUGACACGUAGGUGAAGUGAUUUACUCAUGGAGCUGAAGUCAGUCGAAGAUACCAGCUGGCUGCAACUGUUUAUUAAAAACACAGCACUGUGCAAACACGAAAGUGGACGUAUACGGUGUGACGCCUGCCCGGUGCCGGAAGGUUAAUUGAUGGGGUCAGCGCAAGCGAAGCUCCUGAUCGAAGCCCCGGUAAACGGCGGCCGUAACUAUAACGGUCCUAAGGUAGCGAAAUUCCUUGUCGGGUAAGUUCCGACCUGCACGAAUGGCGUAAUGAUGGCCAGGCUGUCUCCACCCGAGACUCAGUGAAAUUGAACUCGCUGUGAAGAUGCAGUGUACCCGCGGCAAGACGGAAAGACCCCGUGAACCUUUACUAUAGCUUGACACUGAACAUUGAGCCUUGAUGUGUAGGAUAGGUGGGAGGCUUUGAAGUGUGGACGCCAGUCUGCAUGGAGCCGACCUUGAAAUACCACCCUUUAAUGUUUGAUGUUCUAACGUGGACCCGUAAUCCGGGUUGCGGACAGUGUCUGGUGGGUAGUUUGACUGGGGCGGUCUCCUCCUAAAGAGUAACGGAGGAGCACGAAGGUUGGCUAAUCCUGGUCGGACAUCAGGAGGUUAGUGCAAUGGCAUAAGCCAGCUUGACUGCGAGCGUGACGGCGCGAGCAGGUGCGAAAGCAGGUCAUAGUGAUCCGGUGGUUCUGAAUGGAAGGGCCAUCGCUCAACGGAUAAAAGGUACUCCGGGGAUAACAGGCUGAUACCGCCCAAGAGUUCAUAUCGACGGCGGUGUUUGGCACCUCGAUGUCGGCUCAUCACAUCCUGGGGCUGAAGUAGGUCCCAAGGGUAUGGCUGUUCGCCAUUUAAAGUGGUACGCGAGCUGGGUUUAGAACGUCGUGAGACAGUUCGGUCCCUAUCUGCCGUGGGCGCUGGAGAACUGAGGGGGGCUGCUCCUAGUACGAGAGGACCGGAGUGGACGCAUCACUGGUGUUCGGGUUGUCAUGCCAAUGGCACUGCCCGGUAGCUAAAUGCGGAAGAGAUAAGUGCUGAAAGCAUCUAAGCACGAAACUUGCCCCGA
RNAcentral lists this ribosomal RNA (2379 nucleotides) under Salmonella enterica. RNAcentral describes it as "partial 23S ribosomal RNA". It matches the Rfam family "Bacterial large subunit ribosomal RNA". Lineage: Bacteria; Pseudomonadati; Pseudomonadota; Gammaproteobacteria; Enterobacterales; Enterobacteriaceae. The record is from RNAcentral.